AGGAGUGAACCAGCUUAGUUUACGGUUCGAAAAACUGGUUUUCACGAUUCGGUUUGCGGUUUGGAACCGGCCCCCAAAAUUUGAUGUUGAAGUUUAGUUGUUUAGUCGAGAGGGAGGGAGAGUUAAUACAAGAAAAGGCUUCCGCUUAAAAAACUUUGCAACUUUAUUUUCUGCAGCAGGUUUGUGGAGUUGGAUCCAAUAAUCACAUUCUACAGCAAACAAGAAAGAGAUAGAUCGUAUUCAGUUGCAAAUCCGUCUUCGAUGAUGGCGCUGAUGAAUACAAUGCAAAAGCCUGAAUGGACGCACAUCUUGCUUAUCUUGGCUGCACGCUUAAGUAGAGGAUAUUAUGCAGUGGUGGGUUAGGGUUAACAUGGUAAUGUGAGUAAUUUCUUCUGUUGGCAAGAAGGUGAAUUGGAUUAUACAUCUAGAUGAUUUUGAAGCUAAUGUUUUAUUUGAUCUGAAAGAUGUUGGUUAGUUUGGCUCAUUCUUUGUAUGCUCACAAAAGAUUACUUUCUAUCGCACUACAUAUUUCAUAAAAAUGCACCACUUGGUACAGGUCUACGGUUCAAAAUGGUUUUGAGUUUACCCCAAUUAAAUUAAUUGUAAACAAAACCAUUACUCUGGUGCAAGAAUAGAUGUGAUUAGAUACGUUGUGCAUUGUUUCAACAUUGAGAUGACCAGUCAUGAGAUUUGGGAAAGAAAGCCCAAAGAUGAACCUAAAACUAAAAGAUAUUGAUGAUGUGGAGGUCGCUGUGACGUUGUGGAAUCAAUAUGCUAAAGCGAUUGAUGCAUACUAUAAAGCUAAUAUAGGGGGAGUUCAUGUGGUGUUACAUAUUCAGUUUGGCACGUUCAAGAUCUACAAAGGGAAGACUAUGUCCACAUUACAUGAAUAGUUGACUUUUUGGGUAUGAUCAUUAACUAUUAAGGUCUAUGAACAUGUAAACUUUCUUUAAUAUGUGAUUUCAAGUUCUUUAUUUGGUUUAUUAUUGAUUAAGGUUCUUUAUUUGAUUGAUUGAUAAACAUGAAUUUAACCAUCAGUGACGAUAUAUCAUGCAGUUUUCCCUCAAGUACUUGAAGACAUACAAUUCUUAGCUAAACCAUGAAAUGCAGUCUGAAACAAAACACAUCCCAAUAUUGUCCCAAGUCAAACCCAUUCAUAAGUUAAGAACUGAAAUCGCUGCCAAAGGUAGCAUUUGAGGAGUUCCAACUGAAAUCCCAAUAUGCUUUCCUUACAGCUGCUAUUCUACUAAUUAUCCAAAGGCCACAUUAGCUUCUUCUUAUACUAUUGCUUUUGUCUAAUGUUAAAGCCAUGGAGGUCAAUUCAAAAUAUUUCUUAUUCCCUAUGUUGGUAACAAGUUUGAUUUGAAUAGUUUCAUAUCGUGGUAUAGAUACAUUAUUUAGAUUCAUGCAUGCUUAUUUUUUCAGUUUUAACCAAGUUACUAAUAAAAGGAUCAACGUGUUGUGUUUAAUGUAUAACGGGUCAAAUGGUUAAAGAAAUUUAGAAGAAAACUGGUCGGGUGAGUGGAGCGGGGUCAAAUGGAUUGGAAGUUGUCUAAAGUGUAAAAAUGUACAAAAUCAAGUUUAAAUGGAUUUGAUGCAAUAGGGUUUUGUAAGUUUUUGUGGCAUUGAAUAAAAUGGUUCCGUCUGGUUCAAAAAAAAAAAAAAAAAGAGAAAACAGCUUAUGAAAGGUUGGGCUUUGAACUGGUGGGACCAUGUAUCAAACCCUUGAUGAUAUAUAUCUAUGGUUACUAUGGAUCCAAGGUAAAAUAGCCAUUGUUCUUAAAUUUAGUAUUAGAUGCUUCAGGGGUAUUUUCGGUAUGUAAUUGUUCGUGCAAAAAAUGCAGGUUCCAAAUCAGGUCGACACGGGUCAGAAGUUCAAGUGGAACGACUGGGCGCCAAUCAAGGUGACUUUUUUUUUUGGUUCGGAGAGCAUCUAGGGACCGGUUAACCACGAAGGCUGCUUUGGACAAAAGGGGCAUCAGCAUUGGGUCGUGAAACUGCAGUUUUUUUUUUUUGCGGAGAAUUUGAGGAGGCAACAUACCAUAUAUUUGUGUCGUGUGGUUUUGCUCAGGCAAUUUGGGAUGCGGUGGCUCAAUGGUGUGAAUAGUUUGAUUUAGAGUGUAGAGUGACAGGGGCACUGGUCUCACCAUUUCUAAUACCAUGCUUGAUAUUCUCUCAAGUCUCAACUUGGACAAGCUCUUAGUUGCUGAGAUUUGAUGAACUCUUUUGAUAUAUAUGCAUCCACCUAUAAUCAAGCAACACAAGAGUAAAAAAAAUUGUAGGAUCAUAAAUUGAUGCUUCGUGGGCAACAUCGACUCAGAUGAAAUCAAUCGGGUUCCGUUGGAUGUGCAUCGUCCUGAAUCGUCAAGACAUGUGAGAGCUCUAAAUAAACAAUUUGCAAGGCAUGAAACUUUGAUAUUGAUUUUCAUGGCAUAACUUGAGUAAGCUUUUGUUUACAAGAAUCUAUAUAUAUAAUAUAUGAACAAAGUGUGGGACACGUGUCCUUUGAUUGUGCAACCAAAUUGGAUUUUUGGCGGGAAAAUGUGGGAAUCCUUAUAUUUUUACACGGGAUCCGAAUGGCAACAACCAUACCCGCAUAGUUUGACCCGGGUAUAAAAACUAUCUAAUUAGCAAACGCAUCAUUCUUCUCAUUCACGCUUUCAUUCAAGCUUACAAAACCCUAAUUUGUUCAUCGCCGACAAGCAAAUCUACCACCAUCUCUUUCGAUUUCAAUAGCAUCUGCAUUGUUUUGGGUUUAUCUCAUCUUUUGUGACAAACAAUCUAAAUCGAUGGCUCGGUUUUGUUUGAUUAGAAGAAGAAUCAUCGUGUGCUUGGGUGAUGGCUGGAUCUGGAUGUUGUUUAGGGUUUCGCUUGAAUUUGCGGAAGAAGAAAGGUGAAUUUUGAGAUCAAGCACCAAAGCAUAUGAAUAUCGGUCAGUAUAUUUGUCAAACGUUCCAAGCCUAAAAUAUUUCCAUGAGCAGACAUCAAAUCUACAAAACUGAACACAUACUUUGAAAGCUCUCUCUUCAGCAAUGUUAUUAUUACACAGAUAUGAAUUCAAAACCAAUCAUGAAGAAUGGAUUAUACAGUCAAGCCUAAGCUAGGAUCUGAUGUGUCUGAUUAUAUUCAUGCUGUAUUAAAGCUAAUCAUGAAAAUAUUAAAGCUUACGACAAAGUCAGGACUGAACUGCGAGCAGCUCUAUGAAAUCUUCUAAAGAUACUUUACAUGGUUAUUGAUUAGUUAGGUGAUAUUUAUUACAUUAAAUUCAGUGAAAAAUAGUCUAAUUUUAGCUUUAAUGCUGUGAAAGUGUGCGUCGGUAGAUUUAUCUCAAUGUUAGGUUACUUUCAUUAGUCAAGAAAGGGUCUGUCUUAAUGCU
Molecule: long non-coding RNA, 3376 nt
Organism: Helianthus annuus (common sunflower)
Lineage: Eukaryota; Viridiplantae; Streptophyta; Magnoliopsida; Asterales; Asteraceae
Exons: 15
Source: RefSeq, a predicted model, not a curated record